Long non-coding RNA from Columba livia (rock pigeon), 3112 nucleotides. RefSeq lists it as uncharacterized. The transcript has 3 exons. Lineage: Eukaryota; Metazoa; Chordata; Aves; Columbiformes; Columbidae. The record is from RefSeq and is a predicted model, not a curated record.
AUCUAAGCUCCUCAUUCAGCACCAGGCAAAAAUUAGGCACACAAAACCAGGAUUCAUACGCACCAGCACCCCGCUUCACCCUUGCCAGCAGAGAGGGGGGAGAAGGAGGGAUGGAUGUGACCCCAUAACUCUCCCACAGAUACUGGAUAUCUGAUGAAUGGCAUUCAGAUGGCUGAUUAACCAUCCCUUUGCUGGCAUACCUGCAAGGAUCCAACUGGCACAGGAGAGGUUUCCCUUCCUAAUGAAAAAAAAAAAGUCUACUAAAGAGAGGAAGAAAGUUCGGAUUAUCCACCUGUGUGUUCCUAUGGCUCCUUGCAUGCAGAAGAACACUGCUGCCUUUAUAUGCACAGCCCAUCCUCACAGGCUGACUAGAUUAAUCCCUUCACGUUGGAGGAAUUGCUAAAUAUCCACUGAAAAAACCCAGAGCUGUCAGCUUGGGACACUGAUCUCCUCUUGCAGCCCAGGGGGAGCACACCUGAGUCCCACCACUGGCCUUUGCCAGUGCUCAUACACCUGGGUGACCCAUGGAGCCAGCAUGCCCUCCUGCUAAAGGGUUUGUCCCUCUGGAAACCAAGUCUUUCUCAGGGCUACCUUCUGGUUGCUUAACCCCCCAGCACUCAGCCAUCAGAAACUAAUGUGCUGAUGUAGCAAGAGGUCACAGACUUGAGGUGUUACUGAUUGCCACCUAUACGGUUCUUUCAGGAAGACUUGUCACCAGAAUCCUGUUGUCAUUCAGGAUUGCUUUCACCAUAUCAGUAGCUCAAAUGAGUACAGGAAAGCCUCCAUGAACCACCUCAGUUUGGGAUCAGCCCCUGUGGAGGCAACAUCUCUUCUGCCCUGGAGCUCUCAAAGAAGGAAUACACACUUCUGGCCUUGAAGAAUUGUCCUUCCUUUAUGUGCCCAAAGAAAGGAAAAUGUGGCUUCUACCCCUCAACCCCUGGCACCGUCCUGAUCAAACUCUGAUUAAACUGUUCAGCUCAGACAGACUUCAAACACUGAACUCUUAACCCAGCCUAUGUUACCACGGCAUGAGGCCACCAGCACAGGUGAACCCUCAUCAGCACCCAUGGUGCUGAGGCUGGAGCAUCCAGUUCAAAAGAAAACUUUCAAUUCAGUGUAAUUUUCAUAAGUACCCAGGGAACAUGGCUUGUAGAAGAAGGUAUUAUCAGCUAAAACGUCAGUUGGCAAAGUUAUUUCAGUUUUUAAGCGUCAUUUUGUGCAAAAUGACACAUAUAGUCUUUCCUUGCCUUAAAUCAAACACCUUAGUGCCAAACCUGAGGACCACUUAAUACCAAUGUCAAAAAUCCUAUGGAUUUACAUAAAAACAAGACCCCAAUGGGACAAAUUAUCUUUUGGAUCAUUAGUGAUGUAAAUGGCAUGGAGAGGCAUUAAAAACAAAAACAGGUUAUAAACUUUGCUGAAAGACUAUUUUCCACACUUCAUUAGCGGAAAAUAAGGUGUAUUUCUAGCAAGGACUUCACAGACAGAGUGCCUUGCCCAUAAAUGUCUGAGUGCCUGUUUAGUAAAGUGGAAUGUGAAUAUCUGUGAAACCCAAGUGAAAACAUGGGGCUAUGGAAAAUAUACAACAUAUAUAUGAAGAUCAACUCUAAACUUCUACAUUCCCGAAGAGUUCAGAUGUUACUAUUUUCAGAUAUACCUACAGUUUUAUACUAUCUCCUCCACAGUUUACAACAGCUUCAAAUAUAUGCUUAGACAGGCUAGAAAAACUAAACAGAAAUCCACUGGAAGAGAGAAGAAUAAUUUCUUUAUUUUCCUGUCUUUUAUGACAUCUGUUAACUGCAAAUAGCAUACUAUUAUGCCGCAGUUUUGCCUUAGACCCCAAUGUGGAAGACAUUACUCUUUCAUAUCACUGAGAAAGCAUUAACUUCAGAAAAAAAAAAUAGCAUCUGCUGCAUUCACCAAAUUUAGCAGCCCAGAGUUCAACACUGCUCUUACAGAAACUGAAGAAACUCUCAUUAAUUCCAAGGGGUGAAGGGCUGGUUGUGAAAAUCCUAAAUAUGUUUUACUAAUAGAAUUCAUCUUGUUAAUAAGUUGGCAUGUGAACCCAUUUUUUCCGGCUGCUGAAAGCCGCUUGUGGUUUGCUUUUAUUCUUUCGAACACAAUUAGCAAAGCUCUCGAGCAGCUGAAUAGACCUAUUCAUCUGAACAAAUUAUUUCUUGGCAGAGUUUUUGGGGUUUUUUUUUUGUUUGUUUGUAUUUUUGUGUUGUUUUUUUUUUUUUUUUUUUUCUUUUUUAAAUCUCCUCAAAACACUUUCCUACCCUGAUGUAGUCAGAAGAGACACAAAAGCCUGCCUGUCAUUAAUCUCGCCUGCCUGUGCCUGAAAAGACAAGUGGGAGGUACACUGCUGAACACAUCACAUUUUCAGUGUCUCUCCCAGUGACACGACUGAAUUACUCGCUUCUCCCUACCCUUAUCUUAGCUGGUGUACAAUCCUAAUUAAAAGGCUGACGUAAGGAAUACACAGGGGGAAGAGUCUGGCACGGAUGUUAUGGAUGAGAUGAUAAAGUUUAUGAGCACAGCUACCUCCCACAUAGCUUUUGUAGUUAACUGUUGGAGCUCGAGCAGUUGCUCUUAUGCAGAUCAUUUCUCAUUUCAGAGGGCUGUAAACGUUAAAUAAAACAGACUUGCCCUUUCUAAUAGUUAGUAGCAUCUCACUGAUCUAAUUAAUCUACGUAGUUCAUUCUUUCACUGAGAUAACUUUACAGGCAAAUUGGACUCCAGUUCCCUUCUCCUGCUGCUCAUUUUCGGUGUGCAAAGGGCUGUGGAUAGGAUAAAACCCAUGCACCCACCUCAGGAACAAUGCUGCCAUGUAGUUAACACAGCAAAAAUAUUUGUUGUUUAAUUAGUUACAUUUUCAGCUUUUACAUGAGAAGAAAAAGCAAGCCAUGGGUGGUCCACAACCUCAGAAGAGCAAAUAUCCUGGGUUGUAAAAUCAUCCCACCUCAGAAUACUGUGUUGGACAUAAAAAAAAGCAUUUAUUGAAUUUUAGGCCUGAGUUGGGAACAGAAGGUUCAUUAAGAGCUUCCAAACUGCACCCUACCACCAAUUCAUUAAGUGUUUGGCAUUAUUUAAUAAAAAUGGCUCAUGCACA